RNAcentral lists this ribosomal RNA (551 nucleotides) under Trichoderma cf. harzianum ROG-2010. RNAcentral describes it as "eukaryotic LSU rRNA". The stretch from base 206 to 359 matches the Rfam family "5.8S ribosomal RNA". Lineage: Eukaryota; Fungi; Ascomycota; Sordariomycetes; Hypocreales; Hypocreaceae. The record is from RNAcentral.
AUUACCGAGUUUACAACUCCCAAACCCAAUGUGAACGUUACCAAACUGUUGCCUCGGCGGGAUCUCUGCCCCGGGUGCGUCGCAGCCCCGGACCAAGGCGCCCGCCGGAGGACCAACCAAAACUCUUAUUGUAUACCCCCUCGCGGGUUUUUUUAUAAUCUGAGCCUUCUCGGCGCCUCUCGUAGGCGUUUCGAAAAUGAAUCAAAACUUUCAACAACGGAUCUCUUGGUUCUGGCAUCGAUGAAGAACGCAGCGAAAUGCGAUAAGUAAUGUGAAUUGCAGAAUUCAGUGAAUCAUCGAAUCUUUGAACGCACAUUGCGCCCGCCAGUAUUCUGGCGGGCAUGCCUGUCCGAGCGUCAUUUCAACCCUCGAACCCCUCCGGGGGGUCGGCGUUGGGGAUCGGCCCUCCCUUAGCGGGUGGCCGUCUCCGAAAUACAGUGGCGGUCUCGCCGCAGCCUCUCCUGCGCAGUAGUUUGCACACUCGCAUCGGGAGCGCGGCGCGUCCACAGCCGUUAAACACCCAACUUCUGAAAUGUUGACCUCGGAUCAGG